RNAcentral lists this ribosomal RNA (494 nucleotides) under uncultured crenarchaeote. RNAcentral describes it as "bacterial SSU rRNA". It matches the Rfam family "Archaeal small subunit ribosomal RNA", at positions 860 to 1354 of the family's 1478-position model. Lineage: Archaea; Thermoproteati; Thermoproteota. The record is from RNAcentral.
AGGAAUUGGCGGGGGAGCACCACAAGGGGUGAAGCCUGCGGUUCAAUUGGAGUCAACGCCAGGAAACUUACCAGGAGAGACAGCAGAUUGAGGGUCAGGCUGAAGACCUUACCUGACGAGCUGAGAGGAGGUGCAUGGCCGUCGCCAGCUCGUGCCGUGAGGCGUCCUGUUAAGUCAGGCAACGAGCGAGACCCCUAUCCGUAAUUGCUAACUGCCCAGAGAUGGGUAGAGGCUAGUUACAGAGACUGCCGCUGCUAAAGCGGAGGAAGGAAGGGGCCACGGCAGGUCAGUAUGCCCCGAAACUCCUGGGCCACACGCGGGCUGCAAUGGUAGGGACAAUAGGUUCCGACCUCGAAAGAGGAAGGCAAUCCCGAAACCCUACCCCAGUUGUGAUCGAGGAUUGAAACCCGUCCUCGUGAAUAUGGAAUCCCUAGUAACCGCGUGUCAUCACCGCGCGGUGAAUACGUCCCUGCUCCUUGCACACACCGCCCGUC